AGGGCCAAAUCCGCUGGCCGGAACUGUUUUCACUAUAGGAACAGUGGCCCUGGACUGCAGCGCGCUGCACUGCACAGGCCAGGGCAGCAGCGAACCAAGCCUGUGUCUGAUUGCUCGUUUGUUUGCAAUGUGUUGCACUAAUGGAAUUUAUUUGCCCUACAUUCUCCAGAUGUGGUUCUUUUGAAGGGCCUUAUUACUUGUUACACAAAUUCCUUUCCUGCUAAGGGGUAAAUGGUGCUAAAGACUGUUUUGCCCACUUAGUCUAUUUUUGUUCCUCCCAAUAAAUUAAGCUGUUGCUGAUUUGGCAAUCUGGAUUCUAUCAUUAUCUUGAUGAUAUAAUGAUACAAGCAAACAAACACAUAGGAACUUUGAAAUACUCCAGUUCUGGUUCAAUGACUCAAAAGCCCACUGUAAGAUCACAGUCAUGUUCUGGUAUCCACUCAAUCUACUCCUGCGUUGUUUGAUGUUACUUUUGUGUCCUUUACAUAUAAAUGUGAUUUAAUUUUGUUUCAUGUGGACCUCACACUCAUGUGUAUGUCUUUUCUUUGAUUUACUGCUACAUUUUAUUGAUUUCUGUUUUUGUUUCUGUUUUAAUGUCCUUUGUUGGCUGACUGGGCCUUGUGUUGCAUGUUUGUUGUCAUGUCUCAGUUUGAAUGUAGCCAGACACUCAGCAGAACCAUGGGCAUCCAAGUCAACAAAGGACAAGUCAACCCCAGAGAUCCAGAGCUCCUGGGACGGCUUCAAGACCAUGACCCCCGAGCUGUCCAUCGUGCCUGGGGAGCAGAAGGACCGCAUGGAGCUGCACAAUAAGAACUGGGACUCGUCCUCUGCUAACACACCCGACUCGUCCGAGGGAGACUUCCAGACUGAAGUGUGAAGACAAAUAGAUGUACACACUCACUUGAAUACACACUCUCAUCCUGAGCUGCGGUACAGAUGCACACCGAGAUACUGAACCUCUGAAAAGCUAUACAUAAGUACAGGAUUUUUGACAAAGACCUCACACACAGUGCUCCCCGUCUCCUGCAGUGUGCUCUGUCGGAUCCCAAACUGUGUUUGUUUACUUCUGCAGUGGACAGACAUGGAAAGAAGACUGUUCUACUCUACAGUAUAUUUUCGCAAAGACCAUUGAAAAGAAAGAACAGGAGCUUGGCAACGUCUGGGAUGGAGGAAGAUUUUUAAAUGAACUAUAAAAAAAAAAAAAAGUAUAUGAAAAAGUUAUUUCUGAGAAAAAUGUCUUGAUUUUAUUCUGGAGAAAAAAAAGAAAAUCUCUGUCAAUUGUUUGAGGAUUUUCUAAAAAAAAGAAAAAUAAUAUUUCUGCACUGUUCAGUUCAUUUAUAGCGAGAGGAAGAAAAUCUCACUGAGGUUCUCACAUUGGUAGCCCCCCCAGGCACCCUGCUUUCAUUCCUUUCCCUUUCCUUUCUAAUUGGUGAAGACACCAUUCAAUCUCUUAGACUUUCCUUUUUUUUCUUUUCAUCAUUACAGAUGGAUAGGGGAUGGGGGACAGGGAAAGAGCUGCUCAUUGAUUUGCCAUCCUCUGCUUUUUUCAGGUUCCAGUUCAACAAUCCCAUCCAUCUAUUCCUCUCAUCUUCGUAAAGAUUGUAUCCCCCCUUAUUUUGUGUAUUUUCUAAACAUGUCCUCCCCUAUGGUUUGGAAAUUUGAAUAAGAAAAGAUAUUACGAUUAAAACAAAUAACUACUGGGUUGUGUUCUAUGUUCUGAAGACAGUCCGACUGUUCAGGAAGAAUAUAUUUAUUUUCAGACUGGUUGGGGUUUUUAUCUGGAUCUUUUUUCUUUUUUUUUCCUGUGAGAAUUUACCCAUGUGGAACUUAUAAAAAAAAGGACUUAGGACACACACAGCACAUGAAUGUGAGCUUGCUUUCUGGGGUAAUGUGAGCCGCAUGUCAUCCAACCAUAAGGGAAAAGAAGGAUAGUGAUCGUCAUGCAGAUUCUCCCAUCUCCUUCUUUUUCCCCCCACAGCUUGGAGAUAAAGGCAUUUAAAGACUCCAUCAUCUGAAUCAAUUUCAGCCAUCACCAAUCACAGGGAUGCCAGAAAAAGAUGAUAUCUCAGUCAUUGUCAGCCCAAAUGGAAUCUGUGGUGGCUCUGUUAGAAUCUCUCAUUCCUCAAAAACACAUCACUUGCAGUGAACUAUUGAUCACUUUAGCAGAUAACUUUUUUUCUUCUUUUCCCGGGAACUUAAAACUAAACAUGGCUUCCUUUGCCUUCCGUCUACCGCCUCCUUUCUCCUUCUCUGAUGCUCAUUCUGCCCACCCUGCAUCCCAUUACAUGGGAAGCACGAAAUCUUGAUGUAAGCAGCGAAGCCAGUUGUAUAAUACCCUGUUCACAUGGAAGCCUCUCUGUGUGAUUGCAUCUUGUGAGCACAGCAACUGCCGAAAGAGAGGCAAAAUAAAAUGACAGCGGGAGUCACAGAGGUUGUAAGGUUACAAGGUGACAGACUGAUAGGGAAAAAAACAGCUGGUGGUGAUGUUUCUUGCUUGAUAUUCUACAUCAGUACUUCAGUCGCUGCAAGAGGAGAACCAGUUUCCUGCUGUUGCUACUGUAGCACAUCAGUCCUCCACACUCAGUGUGCAGGAUGAAUUCAAAAGAUCAAAAUCCAAUCACUUUUUAUUUACAAGAACAUUUUAUUAAAGUUUUGUUUUGCGUGAUCGAUAAUAAAGGCACAAGUUGUAGUAAUUGGACGAAUAAAAAUGAAGGGCAAUGGUGAAAUACAAGGCACUAUCAAUCUAUGUGCAAAAAUGUAAAACAGAAAUCAGACGUUUGGUUUUCUAAAAGUCUCAAUGGAGGGGGAAUGUGAUUGAGAGAAGCCUGUUCCAAAGCUUUGGGGGCAAUAACACAAAGGCGCAAUCUCCCGUAACCAUCAGCCUUGAUCAUGGAAUAUUCAAAAACAGCUGUUCAGUGGAUCCAAGAUGCCUAGUUUUGAAGUGGGGGCAGAGAAGUUCUCAAAUGUACAGGGGUGUCAAUCCAUUUUGGUUUGGUUUUUUUACACAAAAGAACCUGGAAUUUGAUCAUGUUUUUGACAGGUAGCUAGUGCUGGUCUAAUGCUAUCUCUUUUUUAUCACUGCAGGCAAGACAAGACAAGUCGGUUCAUUUUUGUCAUGUUCCUCAGCUGAAGACAGGUUGGUGUAGUGUUUAACACUGACACCUCACAGAAGGGUUCUGGUUUCACAUCCCGGUUCUAUCUAACCAGGGCCUUUCUGUGUGGAGUUUGCAUGUUCUCCCUGUGUAUACGUUGGUUCUCUCUGGAUACUCUAUCUUCCUCCCACACUCCAAAAACAUGCAGAUUGGGGUUAGAUAGAUUUGAGACUAAAUUGACCAUAGGUGUAAAUGUGACAGUGAAUGGUUGUGUGUCUCUGUAUGUUGGCCCUGCGAUAUUUUGGCAACCACUCCAGGGUGUACCCCACCUCUCGCCCAAUGUCAGCUGGGAUUGGUUUGAGGCCCCGCCACAACCCUUAAUGGAUAAAGCGGUAUAGAUAAUGGAUGGAUGGAUGUUACCUUCUAAGUAAGAUAGAAGGUGCUUAUAAACAAAUUUCACCACGACUUUGGACUGGAAGAGCUUUGAGAUGGAAUGAAAAUGAUGUUAAAUUUGCCAAGGUUAUACUUUUUAACAAGAGGUUGGAUGAUUUAAUAUUCAAAACAGGAUGGAACAGUUCCACUUGCAACACUUUGAAAUUGAGGGUCUGAUUUCUUUAAAAAAUAAAACAUUCUUCCUAUAUACAGUGGGCCCAAAAGUGGUGGUGGUAUCAUGGUGGUACCUCAAUUACUUUUCUGUCUAUGUUCGAAGCAGCUCUCGUUCACCAAACAGUCUGGAGGAAGAAAGAUGCAAGAGAAAAUCGUAUCCUUAAAAAAAGAUCCAAAAUGAAAUACUGAGAAAGCUUAAGGCAGGCAGAGAUGCAGAAUAAGAAGAGAGGGGGAGUGGGUGCACAAAACAGUAAUUAUCUGGGGAUGGUGAUUUGUACUGACAUUUUCCAAAGCAGACCUCAAACCAUCUGUUUUAAGAUCCCUAAUGUGGUAGUAGUGCAGUGUAGCGCAGAUGGCGAGACAAGAGUGCCGCCCUUGUAACCUUUCAAGCUAAUCAGCUGAUAGGCAAACCUACAGCUGCCUCCUCUCGGAGGGAGCAAGUAAGGUUCAGCCCCAAGUUGCCGAGCCUAAGGUCACAUUCACCUGACCUUCUGUGAGGCUCAGGAUCACAGAUCUACCGUACAGCGUGUCCAAACAGAACCAAGCAGUGUUCUGUCAGCGACACAGCCUCAGUCAAAGGGUGUCACUUACAGCAGAGAAAAAACUGAGUGAUACAAAUUGUAUCCUUACACAGACAUUUGUUUGUUUCUCUGUAAAUCUGGACGUUUUACAGAGAAACUCGAGAUGAAUUGUCCAGAGAGGCUUGUUCACAUGGUUACUCAUAACGAGAUUUGAGGAAGGAAGGACAGACUGAACUGCGAAUGUGUGGUUUCAGCGCAGUAUUAGAUUUUGUGACAUCUCUUCUAUUUCCCAUGUUUUUCUCUGUCCUCAUUGCAUUUUCAAGCUCAUUGAGUGCCGGUAUUUACUUUUCAUCGUCAAGAACAGUGAGUGAGAUGCUGUUCAACACAGAGACGAAAAUGUUUGACAGAUUAUUACUGAUUAUUUGAAUCUGCCACCACAACUAAGGAUCAUCUUGAGGCUUGUUUUCUUGAGAAACUCCUGUACCAUUAACAGAAGAAGAUGCUGGUCCGUUGGCCAGUGUGUUGGUAUCUCAUCUUUAAUUCUUUUUCUGUUCGAGGCCUGCCAAUCUCAACAAACACAAGGAAAUUUAGCAAGUUAACUCCAUGUGGAAGCCAAGUCAAAAACCUUCUACGCUCACCUUCACCUUCCACCCUUUGAUGCUUAGGUGUAAACAGACUACAGUCAUUCCAGUUGAUUUAUUACUGAAAAACCCUCCCUUUCCUUCUCUCCCUCAUUUUUGUUCUUUUUAUACAUAAGAUUGUACAAAGUAGUCCUCUAAUGUUUUCAUAGUGUCUUUUUAUAUGAAAAUAAAUUUUCAAAUG
This is a long non-coding RNA of Scophthalmus maximus (turbot), 5041 nucleotides long. NCBI's taxonomy places the organism in Eukaryota, Metazoa, Chordata, Actinopteri, Pleuronectiformes, Scophthalmidae. The record is from Ensembl.